This 236-nucleotide ribosomal RNA is filed under the name uncultured bacterium. RNAcentral describes it as "partial 16S ribosomal RNA". It matches the Rfam family "Bacterial small subunit ribosomal RNA", at positions 96 to 334 of the family's 1533-position model. The record is from RNAcentral.
UGGCGGACGGGUGAGUAACACGUGGGUAACCUACCCAUCAGAGGGGGAUAACUACUGGAAACGGUAGCUAAUACCGCAUAACGUCGCAAGACCAAAGAGGGGGACCUUAGGGCCUCUUGCCAUCGGAUGUGCCCAGAUGGGAUUAGCUAGUAGGUGGGGUAACGGCUCACCUAGGCGACGAUCCCUAGCUGGUCUGAGAGGAUGACCAGCCACACUGGAACUGAGACACGGUCCAG